GUUUGUUUGGAGUUAUAAAGAAUUUAACCUGCCCCCUGAUUAACUAUUAAUUAAAGGGCCGCAGUAUUAUAACUGUGCAAAGGUAGCAUAAUCAUUAGGUUUUUAAUUGAAAUCUCGUAUGAAUGGUUGGACAAAAGAAAGACUCUCUUUAUAUUAAGUUUUGAAUUUAACUUUUAAGUGAAAAGGCUUAAAUAUUCUAAAGGGACGAUAAGACCCUAUAAAACUUUACAUUGUCAUUAAUUUUGAUUGAAUUUAUGAAAUAAAAAUUUUAUUUGAUUAUUUGUUAUGUUGGGGAGACAUAAGUAAAAUAUUUUUUUAACUGCUUGAUAGUUAUACAAUUAUUAGUGAAUAAGUAGAAGAUCCUUUUUAAGAUUAAUAGAUUAAGUUACUUUAGGGAUAACAGUGUAAUUUCUUUUGAGAGUUCUUAUCGAAAGAGAAGGUUGCAACCUCGAUGUUGAAUUAAAAUAUCUAUAUAAUGGAGAGGUUAUAUAAGAAGGUCUGUUCGACCUUGAAAAUUUUACAUGAUUUGAGUUCAAACCGGUGUGAG
RNAcentral lists this ribosomal RNA (547 nucleotides) under Longpotamon nanlingense. RNAcentral describes it as "partial 16S ribosomal RNA". It matches the Rfam family "Bacterial large subunit ribosomal RNA", at positions 1831 to 2625 of the family's 2925-position model. Lineage: Eukaryota; Metazoa; Arthropoda; Malacostraca; Decapoda; Potamidae. The record is from RNAcentral.